AUAAUACUCCCUCCGUUCGGAACUACUUGUCGCAGAAAUGGAUGUAUCUAGACGUUUUUAGUUCUAGAUACAUCCAUUUCCGAGACAAGUAAUUCCGAACGGAGGGAAUACAUA
Triticum aestivum (bread wheat) is the source of this 114-nucleotide non-coding RNA. Lineage: Eukaryota; Viridiplantae; Streptophyta; Magnoliopsida; Poales; Poaceae. The record is from Rfam.